UGCGUAACGCGUAUGCAAUCUGCCUUUUACAGAGGGAUAGCCCAGAGAAAUUUGGAUUAAUACCUCAUAGUAUUACGACUCGGCAUCGAGAUGUAAUUAAAGUCACAACGGUAAAAGAUGAGCAUGCGUCCCAUUAGCUAGUUGGUAAGGUAACGGCUUACCAAGGCAACGAUGGGUAGGGGUCCUGAGAGGGAGAUCCCCCACACUGGUACUGAGACACGGACCAGACUCCUACGGGAGGCAGCAGUGAGGAAUAUUGGACAAUGGGCGCAAGCCUGAUCCAGCCAUGCCGCGUGCAGGAUGACGGUCCUAUGGAUUGUAAACUGCUUUUGUACGAGAAGAAACACUCCUAUGUAUAGGAGCUUGACGGUAUCGUAAGAAUAAGGAUCGGCUAACUCCGUGCCAGCAGCCGCGGUAAUACGGAGGAUCCAAGCGUUAUCCGGAAUCAU
This 449-nucleotide ribosomal RNA is filed under the name Flavobacterium branchiicola. Its description in RNAcentral is "bacterial SSU rRNA". It matches the Rfam family "Bacterial small subunit ribosomal RNA", at positions 107 to 554 of the family's 1533-position model. The record is from RNAcentral. Lineage: Bacteria; Pseudomonadati; Bacteroidota; Flavobacteriia; Flavobacteriales; Flavobacteriaceae.